AUGGCGGUGCACGUGCUGCUCCUCGCCGGGCCUGCGGUCGUCGGCGGGUUCCUGCACGCGUUCAAGUUCUCCAUCCUGCUGUGGCCGUUCAACCUCACGCUGCCGCUGCUGCGCCACCUGCCGCGGGUCUGCGCCACGCUCCGGGCGGCCGCGGCGCAGUUCGACGCCGAGCUGCGCGCGUUGCUGAGUGGCCGACGGCAGAGGGCGCCGGUGCCGCAGCUGGACCACCAGUACUCUGCCCUCCGCCCCGUGCAGAGACGGCCGGCGGGACAGCUCGUCGCGCAGGCCAUGCUGGCCCUCGUCGACGUCUCAUACUGA
RNAcentral lists this ribosomal RNA (318 nucleotides) under Triticum aestivum (bread wheat). RNAcentral's name for it is "partial small subunit ribosomal RNA". Lineage: Eukaryota; Viridiplantae; Streptophyta; Magnoliopsida; Poales; Poaceae. The record is from RNAcentral.